This 1041-nucleotide ribosomal RNA is filed under the name Rhizopus homothallicus. RNAcentral's name for it is "SSU rRNA". It matches the Rfam family "Eukaryotic small subunit ribosomal RNA", at positions 96 to 1144 of the family's 1831-position model. Lineage: Eukaryota; Fungi; Mucoromycota; Mucoromycetes; Mucorales; Rhizopodaceae. The record is from RNAcentral.
GCUCAUUAAAUCAGUUAUGAUCUACGUGACAAAUUCUUUACUACUUGGAUAACCGUGGUAAUUCUAGAGCUAAUACAUGCAAAAAAGCCCUGACUCACGAAGGGGUGCACUUAUUAGAUAAAACCAACGCGGGGUAAAACCUGUUUCUUGGUGAAUCAUAAUAAUUAAGCGGAUCGCAUGGCCUUGAGCCGGCGACGGUCCACUCGAUUUUCUGCCCUAUCAUGGUUGAGAUUGUAAGAUAGAGGCUUACAAUGCCUAUAACGGGUAACGGGGAAUUAGGGUUCGAUUCCGGAGAGGGAGCCUGAGAAACGGCUACCACAUCCAAGGAAGGCAGCAGGCGCGCAAAUUACCCAAUCCCGACACGGGGAGGUAGUGACAAUACAUAACAAUGCAGGGCCUUUAAGGUCUUGCAAUUGGAAUGAGUACAAUUUAAAUCCCUUAACGAGGAUCAAUUGGAGGGCAAGUCUGGUGCCAGCAGCCGCGGUAAUUCCAGCUCCAAUAGCGUAUAUUAAAGUUGUUGCAGUUAAAACGUCCGUAGUCAAACUUUAGUCUUACCGGUGCGGUGGCCUGGUCUUCAUUGACCAAGCUCACUGUCGCUGGAGACUCCACGUCCGCUUUCUUCUAGUCUUCGGGCUAGGAUUUUGUGGACAAUUACCAUGAGCAAAUCAGAGUGUUUAAAGCAGGCUUUUAAGCUUGAAUGUGUUAGCAUGGAAUAAUGAAAUAUGACUUUAGUCCUAUUUUCGUUGGUUUAGGUACUAUAGUAAUGAUUAAUAGAAACGGUUGGGGGCAUUUGUAUUUGGCCGCUAGAGGUGAAAUUCUUGGAUUGGCCGAAGACAAACUACUGCGAAAGCAUUUGACCCAGGACGUUUUCAUUGAUCAAGGUCUAAAGUUAAGGGAUCGAAGACGAUUAGAUACCGUCGUAGUCUUAACCACAAACUAUGCCGACUAGAGAUUGGGCGUGUUUCUUAUGACUCGCUCAGCAUCUUAGCGAAAGUAAAGUUUUUGGGUUCUGGGGGGAGUAUGGGACGCAAGGCUGAAACU